AUAAUAGCAUCGUCACAAGACGCACACGGCACAAUCGCACACGGUACAGUCUAUUCUCUUUACGAAUCGAGAUAAUUUAUACCGAGUCGCGACUCACGAGUUAAUCAAACGCGAAACCGCAAGCGACAAACCAGUUGGGGACGAUAACUUAGUACGCGCACUUGUGUUCACCGAUUUUACAAAUAUAAUUAAGGAGAAAAUGGGCAAAAUACAUAAUUUCGGCGCUGGACCGGCCAAAUUGCCAGAAGAAGUGUAUGACAUACUAAAGGAUGAAUUUACUAACUUCGAUGGAACAGGAAUCAGCUUAUUGGAGACAAGUCAUCGGUCCCAGACUUAUUUUAAGCUGAAUAAAGAAGUCCAAGAUGUUGUCAGGAGGUUAAUGGAUGUCCCGAGUAACUACAAAAUUCUCCUCUUAUCCGGCGGUGGGCAGGGUCAGUUUGCUGCAGUGCCACUUAACUUGAUCUCUAGAACUGGAACGGCUGAUUACGUAGUAACAGGAGCAUGGUCCGCAAAAGCAGCAAAGGAGGCAAAGAAGUACGGCAAAGUGAAUAUGGUACUACCUCCCACGGAUCGCUAUGUGGAUAUUCCGGACCAGUCGACUUGGAAUCUUGAUCCCAACGCCUCAUACGUUUACAUUUGUACAAAUGAGACGAUUCAUGGUGUCGAGUUCGAUACUAUACCAGACACAAAGGGAGUCCCCUUAGUGGCUGAUAUGUCUUCAAAUUUUAUGUCCAAGAAAGUUGACGUCUCGAAGUUCGGCGUGAUAUAUGGUGGAGCUCAGAAGAACAUCGGUACCGCUGGCGUAGUGCUUGUAAUAGUAAGAGAGGAUCUCCUCAAUCAAGCCCUUCCAAUCUGUCCAUCCAUUCUUGAUUGGACUGUUAAUGCUAAAGCAGACUCUAUUCUCAACACGCCACCUAUGUUUGCAAUUUUAGUAAUGGGAAGAGUUUUGCAAUGGAUCGAAAGAAAGGGAGGUUUAAAUAAAAUGGCUGAAUUGGCCACGAAGAAAUCUUCCCUAAUUUAUAAUAUUAUCAAAGAUUCAAAUGGGUUUUACUACGCACCAGUCGCUGAGAAAGUAAGAAGUAAAAUGAAUAUCCCGUUCCGGAUUGGCUCUGCAACCGGCGAUGAUGGACUUGAAAAGGAAUUCUUAAAGGGCGCUGAAGCCUUAAACCUAAUUCAACUUAAAGGACACAGGGACGUCGGAGGAAUUCGUGCUUCAACAUACAAUGCAGUCACGUUGGAAGAAGUUCAAACUUUGGCCACCUACAUGAAAGACUUUUACAAGAAACAUGCUAAGUAAAUUAUAAGUACUUAUAUAGGUAGGUACGCAUACCGAUACCGACGAUGGUAUUUGUUACAAAAAAUAAAAGCUCGUAUUUUGAAUUUCCAUGAUUUGUUUAAGUAUUGUAUAGUCUAUAACUAUAUAAUAUUUUUUUAUACCUGUUUUUUUGAUUAGGUAAGAUAUAGCUAGAGACGUACAGUCAGCAAUAAAGAUAGGUUUGCAUACGCCAGUAUAAGCGAUUAUGGGCGGGUGCAAACUGCAAACCUAGUUUUGUUGCUGACUGUACAUUAAAUAUUUUGUGCGUCUGUUCUAAUUAAGCAUAAGUUUCUGUAAUAAACAAUUUUUUU
Molecule: RNA transcript, 1626 nt
Organism: Maniola jurtina (meadow brown)
Lineage: Eukaryota; Metazoa; Arthropoda; Insecta; Lepidoptera; Nymphalidae
Gene: Psat1
Gene name: probable phosphoserine aminotransferase
Exons: 9
Source: RefSeq, a predicted model, not a curated record